Molecule: ribosomal RNA, 301 nt
Filed under: uncultured Methanoculleus sp.
Lineage: Archaea; Methanobacteriati; Methanobacteriota; Methanomicrobia; Methanomicrobiales; Methanomicrobiaceae
Description: bacterial SSU rRNA
Rfam family: Bacterial small subunit ribosomal RNA
Source: RNAcentral
CCAAACUCCGUGCGAUCUGCGGAGGUCACACCGAGGUUCCAAGCGUGAGCCGGAAUUACUUGGCGGAAAGAGUUGCGUAGGUGGCAGAGUAAGUCAGUAGUGAAAGCGUGCGGCUCAACCGCAUACACAUUAUGGAAACUGCUCAGCUAGAGGACGAGAGAGGGACCUGGAAUUCCCAGUGUAGGAGUGAAAUCCGGAGAUAUUGGGAGGAACACCGAGGGCGUAGGCAGGGUACUGGCUUGUUCCUGACACUAAGGCACGAAAGCGUGGGUAGCAAACGGGAUUAGAUACCCGGGUAGUC